Molecule: long non-coding RNA, 568 nt
Filed under: Coturnix japonica (Japanese quail)
Lineage: Eukaryota; Metazoa; Chordata; Aves; Galliformes; Phasianidae
Description: lncRNA (ENSCJPG00005018383.1)
Source: RNAcentral
UCCAGUUCCAACUAUCUGCUGGCCAUUGCAGCCACCUGAAAUCCCCCUGUCUGCAUUAAACCAAAAGUCCUGCUAGUCACACAGAUAUAUUACAAAGAGGGGUCUUAAGAUGUUACUGCUUGGAAGUUGGAAACAAUAAAUGCUGUAAUGCCAACAGAAAAGGUGCUGAGGUAGCUGGUAGUUGAGAGUUAAUGAAGUAUGUUAAGCAGGUACAAUAUAAAUGAAGUUGUCCCCUGCAGGGCGAUUGGCCUCUAGGGAAAUAAUGUGACAGUUGUCUUUGUGUAAAAAUAAUGUGGUUCUCCUUCUUUGCCAGAUCCUAUCUACACCAGGAGAUGAAAGAGAUCUUGCAAGGGUACAUGGUUGUUCCUAUUGCAAAUGCUGUGCUUGGAGCUCACAAAUAAAGGACAAGAAAAAGAAAAGUUCCAGGAAAGUUUUUCUAAAGAUGCUGAGACCAGAAUGUGGGCAAACACUCAUAAGAAAGGAAAAAACUAUUUACAGAGAAGCUGAGCUCAGUCAAAGAAGUGACUAGUCUAAUAAAUGCCUAACUUUUCUUCCCUACUUUCUGGAG